Molecule: ribosomal RNA, 253 nt
Filed under: uncultured bacterium
Lineage: Bacteria
Description: partial 16S ribosomal RNA
Rfam family: Bacterial small subunit ribosomal RNA
Source: RNAcentral
UACGGAGGGAGCUAGCGUUGUUCGGAAUUACUGGGCGUAAAGCGCGCGUAGGCGGCUUUGUAAGUUAGAGGUGAAAGCCCGGGGCUCAACCCCGGAACUGCCUUUAAGACUGCAUCGCUUGAAUCCGGGAGAGGUGAGUGGAAUUCCGAGUGUAGAGGCGAAAUUCGUAGAUAUUCGGAAGAACACCAGUGGCGAAGGCGGCUCACUGGACCGGCAUUGACGCUGAUGUGCGAAAGCGUGGGGAGCAAACAGG